This 254-nucleotide ribosomal RNA is filed under the name uncultured bacterium. RNAcentral describes it as "partial 16S ribosomal RNA". It matches the Rfam family "Bacterial small subunit ribosomal RNA", at positions 524 to 776 of the family's 1533-position model. The record is from RNAcentral.
CACGUAGGGGGCAAGCGUUGUCCGGAAUCAUUGGGCGUAAAGAGCUCGUAGGCGGCUCAGUAAGUCGGGUGUGAAACCCCCAGGCUCAACCUGGGGACGCCACCCGAUACUGCUGUGGCUAGAGUCCAGUAGGGGAGUGUGGAAUUCCCGGUGUAGCGGUGAAAUGCGCAGAUAUCGGGAGGAACACCAGCGGCGAAGGCGGCACUCUGGGCUGGUACUGACGCUGAGGAGCGAAAGCCAGGGGAGCAAACGGG